RNAcentral lists this unclassified non-coding RNA (267 nucleotides) under Lecanicillium sp. RNAcentral's name for it is "partial contains 5.8S ribosomal RNA, internal transcribed spacer 2, and large subunit ribosomal RNA". The stretch from base 1 to 52 matches the Rfam family "5.8S ribosomal RNA", at positions 103 to 154 of the family's 154-position model. RNAcentral also lists the same sequence under 1 other name. Lineage: Eukaryota; Fungi; Ascomycota; Sordariomycetes; Hypocreales; Cordycipitaceae. The record is from RNAcentral.
AACGCACAUUGCGCCCCUUGGUAUUCCGAGGGGCAUGCCUGUUCGAGCGUCAUUAUCACCCCUCAAACCCCGGGUUUGGUGUUGGAUCAAAGUCGUCUGGCGACGGGCGACUGGUCCCAAAGAUAAUGGCGGCGUCCGUGGGACCCUCGAUGCAACGAGCUUUUUCUGAAGCACGCGUCGAUCUGGGACACCACGCACGCCCGUCUCUUCCUUUUAUAUUUUUCUAAGGUUGACCUCGGAUCAGGUAGGAAUACCCGCUGAACUUAA